GACGAACGCUGGCGGCGUGCUUAACACAUGCAAGUCGAACGGAAAGGCCCUGCUUUUGUGGGGUGCUCGAGUGGCGAACGGGUGAGCAACACGUGAGUAACCUGCCCUUGACUUUGGGAUAACUUCAGGAAACUGGGGCUAAUACCGGAUAGGAGCUCCUGCUGCAUGGUGGGGGUUGGAAAGUUUCGGCGGUUGGGGAUGGACUCGCGGCUUAUCAGCUUGUUGGUGGGGUAGUGGCUUACCAAGGCUUUGACGGGUAGCCGGCCUGAGUGGGUGACCGGCCACAUUGGGACUGAGAUACGGCCCAGACUCCUACGGGAGGCAGCAGUGGGGAAUAUUGCACAAUGGGCGGAAGCCUGAUGCAGCAACGCCGCGUGCGGGAUGACGGCCUUCGGGUUGUAAACCGCUUUCGCCUGUGACGAAGCGUGAGUGACGGUAAUGGGUAAAGAAGCACCGGCUAACUACGUG
This 468-nucleotide ribosomal RNA is filed under the name uncultured bacterium. RNAcentral's name for it is "partial 16S ribosomal RNA". It matches the Rfam family "Bacterial small subunit ribosomal RNA", at positions 28 to 507 of the family's 1533-position model. The record is from RNAcentral.